RNAcentral lists this ribosomal RNA (504 nucleotides) under uncultured bacterium. Its description in RNAcentral is "partial 16S ribosomal RNA". It matches the Rfam family "Bacterial small subunit ribosomal RNA", at positions 29 to 523 of the family's 1533-position model. The record is from RNAcentral.
AUUGAACGCUGGCGGCAGGCCUAACACAUGCAAGUCGAACGGUAGCACAGAGAGCUUGCUCUCGGGUGACGAGUGGCGGACGGGUGAGUAACGUCUGGGAAACUGCCCGAUGGAGGGGGAUAACUACUGGAAACGGUAGCUAAUACCGCAUAACGUCGCAAGACCAAAGUGGGGGACCUUCGGGCCUCACACCAUCGGAUGUGCCCAGAUGGGAUUAGCUAGUAGGUGGGGUAAUGGCUCACCUAGGCGACGAUCCCUAGCUGGUCUGAGAGGAUACCCAGAGACACAGGGACGGAGACGCGGUCAAGACUCCUACGGGAGGCAGCAGUGGGGAAUAUUGCACAAUGGGCGCAAGCCUGAUGCAGCAAUGCCGCGUGUAUGAAGAAGGCCUUCGGGUUGUAAAGUACUUUCAGCGGGGAGGAAGGCGGUGGAGUUAAUAGCUUCACCGAUUGACGUUACCCGCAGAAGAGGCACCGGCUAACUCCGUGCCAGCAGCCGCCGUAA